GCAAACUUGGUCAUUUAGAGGAAGUAAAAGUCGUAACAAGGUUUCCGUAGGUGAACCUGCGGAAGGAUCAUUAAUGAAUCGUUAGGACGCUCUUUUUAGAGGUCCGACCCCUUCAUUUCCUUACACUGUGCACACACUUCUUUUUACACCAUUUUUAACACAUCAGUCUAAGAAUGUAAAUAGUCUCUUAACUGAGCAUAAAACAAAUAAAACUUUCAGCAACGGAUCUCUUGGCUCUCGCAUCGAUGAAGAACGCAGC
Molecule: unclassified non-coding RNA, 259 nt
Filed under: uncultured fungus
Lineage: Eukaryota; Fungi
Description: partial contains small subunit ribosomal RNA, internal transcribed spacer 1, and 5.8S ribosomal RNA
Rfam family: Eukaryotic small subunit ribosomal RNA (bases 1-73)
Source: RNAcentral